UUGUAAUUCUUAACUUCCUGUACGUUUAAAAGUAUAAAAGAGAUACUAAGUGUAGUGACUUAAUUUUAUCCCUUUAAUUGCAGAUAUCAAGCUACCUGCAGCUAAUCAGAGUGCAGAAACCUUUGAAGGAUUAAUUAAUUGGUUAGAGUUUUCCAUGUCUCUGUGUUCGAUCAGUCAGUUUCCACCUGAGGAGUUUUCACCUGCAGCAGCAGCUCGACCUUUGACCUCCAGCAGCUCACAGAACAACAGCCACAUUCCUGAGUAACGGCUCAGGUCAUCAUUGUGAAUGGAUGGUACCACACACACACACACACACACACACACACGCACGCACGCACGCACGCACACACCAUCAGCAGCUUAUUUUUAUGCGUAAGAAGUCUGAUUUUGUACAGUUAGAUUUUGUCUCAUGUCUGUUUGUUCACAGCAGAGCUUGAGUCAGGCAGUGAUGAGCUCAGCUUCACAAAAAAAACAGUAAGGGAUUAGAUCAUUUCAUUUAGGAUGAGAUCAGAUCUUUGUGUGAUGUUUUUUUAAGGCUAGAGACAAUUAUAUAUUAAAUACUGUAUAAAUUAAAUAUGAACUUUAUAAUAGGACCAUUAAAGCUGUUUGAACAUCAUAUAAUUAAAUCAGAUUAUGAACAAAUCCAGUCUAGAAGGAUAUGAUCACUGCUGGAUAAUGAUGAGCUCAUUACCUGUUAAAGCACCUGCUCUCUCUGGCGCCCUCUGUUGGUCAAGACCUGCGGAAGAUUUUGGAAGAAAGCAUGUGAAUCCACAUCAAGACUUUGAGGACCUCUGCCUGGAAACAGACUGAGGCUGUUCUAUGUUUCCAAGACCUGUUUAUGUUUAUGCAUAUGCCUACUGAUUUGAAUAGGGAGAAACUGCUCCAGUUCAUCAGAGGAUAGAGAGACUGAAAAAACCUGAACUGACCUCGAAGGAUUAUCAAACUCCCUCAAAGACCCCAGCCUUGGUGAAUGCGCGGCCCAGAUGACUUGUGUCCUCUUCCAGGAAUGUCCAAACCCUCACCAAGGAUUACUGGAAAAGUCAUCUUGGGAUUGUUCAAGGACUUUUACAGCAAAAACAAUGACUGUUAAGGACUCAAGGACCACUUGAAGAACUUCCCUUGAAUCCCUUGAAUGCUUCAAAAAUAACUCUUGAAAUCUGUUUUCAGAUACCUGGCAAUCUUUGGUAUGGUGGCUCUGAACGACAAGGAAAACAGACAUUUAAG
Xyrichtys novacula (pearly razorfish) is the source of this 1224-nucleotide non-coding RNA. The record is from the annotation of a GenBank genome assembly. Lineage: Eukaryota; Metazoa; Chordata; Actinopteri; Labriformes; Labridae.